UACAGAGGGUGCAAGCGUUAAUCGGAAUUACUGGGCGUAAAGGGUGCGUAGGUGGUUUGGUAAGUUGGUUGUGAAAUCCCUGGGCUUAACCUAGGAAUUGCAGCCAAUACUGUCAAGCUAGAGUAGAAUAGAGGGAAGUAGAAUUUCCGGUGUAGCGGUGAAAUGCGUAGAUAUCGGAAGGAACACCAGUGGCGAAGGCGACUUCCUGGAUUCAUACUGACACUGAGGCACGAAAGCAUGGGGAGCAAACAGG
This 253-nucleotide ribosomal RNA is filed under the name uncultured bacterium. RNAcentral describes it as "partial 16S ribosomal RNA". It matches the Rfam family "Bacterial small subunit ribosomal RNA", at positions 524 to 776 of the family's 1533-position model. The record is from RNAcentral.